UACAGAGGGGGCAAGCGUUGUUCGGAAUUACUGGGCGUAAAGGGCGCGUAGGCGGCCUUCUAAGUCGAACGUGAAAUCCCCGGGCUCAACCCGGGAACUGCGUCCGAUACUGGGAGGCUUGAAUCCGGGAGAGGGAUGCGGAAUUCCAGGUGUAGCGGUGAAAUGCGUAGAUAUCUGGAGGAACACCGAUGGCGAAAGCAGGUACCUGGACCAUUACUGACGCUCAGCUGCGAAAGCUAGGGGAGCAAACAGG
Molecule: ribosomal RNA, 253 nt
Filed under: uncultured bacterium
Lineage: Bacteria
Description: partial 16S ribosomal RNA
Rfam family: Bacterial small subunit ribosomal RNA
Source: RNAcentral